Long non-coding RNA from Betta splendens (Siamese fighting fish), 599 nucleotides. RefSeq lists it as uncharacterized. The record is from RefSeq and is a predicted model, not a curated record. The transcript has 4 exons. NCBI's taxonomy places the organism in Eukaryota, Metazoa, Chordata, Actinopteri, Anabantiformes, Osphronemidae.
GGCGGCGAUCACGAGCCGAAGCCCAUUUAACCUGAAAUCUGAAGUGAGCCAGUCCUUUUAUCAACUGCACGGCUCAGAUGUAGAAGUCACGGAGGGUUGUUGUUAGUAUACGCCUUAAAACUGCUUCAGCGGUUCAGUCGUAGAUAGAAGCAUGACUUAUUAUUAUGUGCCAAAUGGUGUACACCUGUAUGUGCCAGAUGGUGGAUAAUGUCUGUCUGACCUUCAGGAGCAAUCCUGAAGAUGGCACAACAACGGAUCCAGCUAUGUAAUUACAGGAGAAUCGUCCUUUAACACCCUGCAUCAAGUCAUUGGUGAAAAUUGCCAUGGCUUAAGCUUCAGAGAUUGAUUGUAGCAGCUGUAACAAACUGAAGAGUUGUGGUCUGAACACAUACAUUGCAGGUGCAACUACUUGCUGGAUGGAGUAUUAAAUCCCCCCUCCCUUCUGGAAAUAAGCUGCAUACACCAGUGAGAGAUUCACUAAUGUUGGACAAGAUAUUAAUGUCUUUGCAAUAUUCUUAUGGAUUACUGAAGUGCUAUGCUUAUGUAUUCUGACAUGAUCUUGUCCUUUUUUAAAGAAAUAAAAAUAUUCUAUUUCUAAA